Molecule: transfer RNA, 73 nt
Filed under: Malacoplasma iowae DK-CPA
Lineage: Bacteria; Bacillati; Mycoplasmatota; Mycoplasmoidales; Mycoplasmoidaceae
Rfam family: tRNA
About the family: Transfer RNA (tRNA) molecules are approximately 80 nucleotides in length. Their secondary structure includes four short double-helical elements and three loops (D, anti-codon, and T loops). Further hydrogen bonds mediate the characteristic L-shaped molecular structure. tRNAs have two regions of fundamental functional importance: the anti-codon, which is responsible for specific mRNA codon recognition, and the 3' end, to which the tRNAs corresponding amino acid is attached (by aminoacyl-tRNA synthetases). tRNAs cope with the degeneracy of the genetic code in two manners: having more than one tRNA (with a specific anti-codon) for a particular amino acid; and 'wobble' base-pairing, i.e. permitting non-standard base-pairing at the 3rd anti-codon position.
Source: Rfam by way of RNAcentral
GGUUUCGUAGCUCAGUCGGUAGAGCAACGGACUGAAAAUCCGUGUGUCGGCGGUUCGAUCCCGCCCGAAACCA